RNAcentral lists this transfer RNA (84 nucleotides) under Blochmannia endosymbiont of Camponotus (Colobopsis) obliquus. RNAcentral's name for it is "tRNA-Leu (GAG) (tRNA-Leu-GAG-1-1)". It matches the Rfam family "tRNA". Rfam says of the family: Transfer RNA (tRNA) molecules are approximately 80 nucleotides in length. Their secondary structure includes four short double-helical elements and three loops (D, anti-codon, and T loops). Further hydrogen bonds mediate the characteristic L-shaped molecular structure. tRNAs have two regions of fundamental functional importance: the anti-codon, which is responsible for specific mRNA codon recognition, and the 3' end, to which the tRNAs corresponding amino acid is attached (by aminoacyl-tRNA synthetases). tRNAs cope with the degeneracy of the genetic code in two manners: having more than one tRNA (with a specific anti-codon) for a particular amino acid; and 'wobble' base-pairing, i.e. permitting non-standard base-pairing at the 3rd anti-codon position. The record is from Rfam by way of RNAcentral. Lineage: Bacteria; Pseudomonadati; Pseudomonadota; Gammaproteobacteria; Enterobacterales; Enterobacteriaceae.
GCCGAGGUGGUGGAAAUGGUAGACACGCUAUCUUGAGGUGGUAGUGCCCAUUUGGGAUUGCGGGUUCAAGUCCCGUCCUCGGUA